Molecule: ribosomal RNA, 164 nt
Filed under: Maranta bicolor
Lineage: Eukaryota; Viridiplantae; Streptophyta; Magnoliopsida; Zingiberales; Marantaceae
Description: 5.8S ribosomal RNA
Rfam family: 5.8S ribosomal RNA
About the family: 5.8S ribosomal RNA (5.8S rRNA) is a component of the large subunit of the eukaryotic ribosome. It is transcribed by RNA polymerase I as part of the 45S precursor that also contains 18S and 28S rRNA.
Source: RNAcentral
AUAAUGACUCUCGGCAACGGAUAUCUCGGCCCUCGCAUCGAUGAAGAACGUAGCGAAAUGCGAUACGUGGUGUGAAUUGCAGAAUCCCGCGAACCAUUGAGUCUUUGAACGCAAGUUGCGCCCAAGGCCUUGCCGCCGAGGGCACGCCUGCCUGGGCGUCACGC